GACAAUGUCAUAAAACACCAUUAUUCAUGGAAAACAUGUAAUGUUGUUUGUGAAUUGAUGUUACAUAAAGUUGAUUAAAAUUUAAAAUGAAAAUGUGUGGUGAGCAAGAAAAGAAAACGGUGGCAUGGAUUGAAAUGGCCGAAUGGUAAACAAAAGACAAGAAAGAGUUGGUCCAAAAUCAACCGGCUUUGGAGAAACUGUCAUGUGAGUUUUUCUAUUUAACUUUUUAUUUUUUGAAAGAUGAGUUUAUUUGUAUAUUGUUUUCUAUCUAAUUUUUUUUUUUUUUUUUAGGAGCCUAGUGGUUAGAGCUCACACAAUUAAAUGUGGAGAAGUG
This 334-nucleotide long non-coding RNA is filed under the name Medicago truncatula (barrel medic). Its description in RNAcentral is "long non-coding RNA (MTRU_LNC006791)". Lineage: Eukaryota; Viridiplantae; Streptophyta; Magnoliopsida; Fabales; Fabaceae. The record is from RNAcentral.